GAUGAACGCUGGCGGCGUGCCUAAUACAUGCAAGUCGAGCGAACAGACGAGGAGCUUGCUCCUCUGACGUUAGCGGCGGACGGGUGAGUAACACGUGGAUAACCUACCUAUAAGACUGGGAUAACUUCGGGAAACCGGAGCUAAUACCGGAUAAUAUAUUGAACCGCAUGGUUCAAUAGUGAAAGACGGUUUUGCUGUCACUUAUAGAUGGAUCCGCGCCGGAUUAGCUAGGUGGUAAGGUAACGGCCUACCAAGGCAACGAUGCGUAGCCGAUCUGAGAGGAUGAUCGGCCACACUGGAACUGAGACACGGUCCAGACUCCUACGGGAGGCAGCAGUAGGGAAUCUUCCGCAAUGGGCGCAAGCCUGACCCAGCCAUGCCGCGUGAGUGAUGAAGGUCUUCGGAUCGUAAAACUCUGUUAUUAGGGAAGAACAACUGUGUAUGUAACUAUGCCCGUCUUGACGGUACCUAAUCAAAAAGCCACGGCUAACUACGUG
Molecule: ribosomal RNA, 497 nt
Filed under: uncultured bacterium
Lineage: Bacteria
Description: partial 16S ribosomal RNA
Rfam family: Bacterial small subunit ribosomal RNA
Source: RNAcentral